AGAGUUUGAUCCUGGCUCAGAUUGAACGCUGGCGGCAUGCCUUACACAUGCAAGUCGAACGGCAGCACGGAGCUUGCUCUGGUGGCGAGUGGCGAACGGGUGAGUAAUAUAUCGGAACGUACCCUAGAGUGGGGGAUAACGUAGCGAAAGUUACGCUAAUACCGCAUACGAUCUACGGAUGAAAGUGGGGGAUCGCAAGACCUCAUGCUCAUGGAGCGGCCGAUAUCUGAUUAGCUAGUUGGUAGGGUAAAAGCCUACCAAGGCAUCGAUCAGUAGCUGGUCUGAGAGGACGACCAGCCACACUGGAACUGAGACACGGUCCAGACUCCUACGGGAGGCAGCAGUGGGGAAUUUUGGACAAUGGGCGAAAGCCUGAUCCAGCAAUGCCGCGUGAGUGAAGAAGGCCUUCGGGUUGUAAAGCUCUUUUGUCAGGGAAGAAACGGUUGUCUCUAAUACAGAUGGCUAAUGACGGUACCUGAAGAAUAAGCACCGGCUAACUACGUGCCAGCAGCCGCGGUAAUACGUAGGGUGCAAGCGUUAAUCGGAAUUACUGGGCGUAAAGCGUGCGCAGGCGGUUAUGUAAGACAGAUGUGAAAUGCCCGGGCUUAACCUGGGAACUGCAUUUGUGACUGCAUGGCUAGAGUUUGGCAGAGGGGGGUAGAAUUCCACGUGUAGCAGUGAAAUGCGUAGAUAUGUGGAGGAACACCGAUGGCGAAGGCAGCCCCCUGGGUCAAGACUGACGCUCAUGCACGAAAGCGUGGGGAGCAAACAGGAUUAGAUACCCUGGUAGUCCACGCCCUAAACGAUGUCUACUAGUUGUCGGGUCUUAAUUGACUUGGUAACGCAGCUAACGCGUGAAGUAGACCGCCUGGGGAGUACGGUCGCAAGAUUAAAACUCAAAGGAAUUGACGGGGACCCGCACAAGCGGUGGAUGAUGUGGAUUAAUUCGAUGCAACGCGAAAAACCUUACCUACCCUUGACAUGGCUGGAAUCCUUGAGAGAUUGAGGAGUGCUCGAAAGAGAACCAGUACACAGGUGCUGCAUGGCUGUCGUCAGCUCGUG
This 1062-nucleotide ribosomal RNA is filed under the name uncultured bacterium. RNAcentral's name for it is "bacterial SSU rRNA". It matches the Rfam family "Bacterial small subunit ribosomal RNA", at positions 8 to 1064 of the family's 1533-position model. The record is from RNAcentral.